This 449-nucleotide ribosomal RNA is filed under the name uncultured prokaryote. RNAcentral describes it as "bacterial SSU rRNA". It matches the Rfam family "Bacterial small subunit ribosomal RNA", at positions 355 to 796 of the family's 1533-position model. The record is from RNAcentral.
UGGGGAAUAUUGCACAAUGGGGGAAACCCUGAUGCAGCCAUGCCGCGUGUGUGAAGAAGGCCUUCGGGUUGUAAAGCACUUUCAGGUGUGAGGAAAGUUAAACAGUUAAUACCUGUUUGAUGUGACGUUAACACCAGAAGAAGCACCGGUUAACUCCGUGCCAGCAGCCGCGGUAAUACGGAGGGUGCGAGCGUUAAUCGGAAUUACUGGGCGUAAAGCGCACGCAGGCGGUUUGAUAAGCUAGAUGAGAAAGCCCCGGGCUCAACCUGGGAUGGUCAUUUAGAACUGGCAGACUAGAGUCUUGGAGAGGGUAGUGGAAUUCCAGGUGUAGCGGUGAAAUGCGUAGAUAUCUGGAGGAACAUCAGUGGCGAAGGCGACUCCCUGGCCAAAGACUGAGGCUCAUGUGCUAAAGUGUGGGUAGCGAACAGGAUUAGAUACCCGCGUAGUCC